GAUGAAGAACGCAGCGAAAUGCGAUAAGUAAUGUGAAUUGCAGAAUUCAGUGAAUCAUCGAAUCUUUGAACGCACCUUGCGCCCUUUGGCUAUUCUGAAGGGCAUGCCUGUUUGAGUAUCAUGAACACCUCAACUCUCAUGGUUCGCCAUGAUGAGCUUGGACUUUGGGGGUCUUGCUGGCCUACGGUCGGCUCCUCUCAAAUGAAUCAGCUUGCCAGUGUUUGGUAGAGUCGCAGGUGUGAUAACUAUCUACGCUUGUGGUUUUCUGCCAGAUAACCUUCAGUGAUGGAGGUUCGCUGGAGCUUAUAAAUGUCUCUCCCCAGUGAGGACAGCUUUUUGAAUGUUUGAUCUCAAAUCAGGUAGGACUACCCGCUGAACUUAAGCAUAUCAAUAAGCGGAGGA
This 402-nucleotide unclassified non-coding RNA is filed under the name soil metagenome. RNAcentral's name for it is "partial contains 5.8S ribosomal RNA, internal transcribed spacer 2, and large subunit ribosomal RNA". The stretch from base 1 to 121 matches the Rfam family "5.8S ribosomal RNA", at positions 35 to 154 of the family's 154-position model. The record is from RNAcentral.